This 253-nucleotide ribosomal RNA is filed under the name uncultured bacterium. Its description in RNAcentral is "partial 16S ribosomal RNA". It matches the Rfam family "Bacterial small subunit ribosomal RNA", at positions 524 to 776 of the family's 1533-position model. The record is from RNAcentral.
UACGUAGGGGGCUAGCGUUGCUCGGAAUCACUGGGCGUAAAGCGCACGUAGGCGGCUUCUUAAGUCAGGGGUGAAAUCCUGGAGCUCAACUCCAGAACUGCCUUUGAUACUGAGAGUCUUGAGUUCGGGAGAGGUGAGUGGAACUGCGAGUGUAGAGGUGAAAUUCGUAGAUAUUCGCAAGAACACCAGUGGCGAAGGCGGCUCACUGGCCCGAUACUGACGCUGAGGCACGAAAGCGUGGGGAGCAAACAGG